RNAcentral lists this ribosomal RNA (425 nucleotides) under uncultured prokaryote. Its description in RNAcentral is "bacterial SSU rRNA". It matches the Rfam family "Bacterial small subunit ribosomal RNA", at positions 355 to 796 of the family's 1533-position model. The record is from RNAcentral.
UGGGGAAUUUUCCGCAAUGGGCGAAAGCCUGACGGAGCAAUACCGCGUGAGGGAAGAAUGCCUGUGGGUUGUAAACCUCUUUUAUUAGGGAAGAAUUUUGACGGUACCUAAUGAAUAAGCAUCGGCUAACUCCGUGCCAGCAGCCGCGGUAAUACGGGGGAUGCAAGCGUUAUCCGGAAUCACUGGGCGUAAGGCGUCUGUAGGUGGCUUAAUAAGUCUGCUGUUAAAUGUUAGAGCUUAACUCUAAAACAGCGGUGGAAACUACUAAGCUUGAGUAUGGUAUGGGCAAAGGGAAUUCCCAGUGUAGCGGUGAAAUGCGUAGAUAUUGGGAGGAACACCAGUAGCGAAAGCGCUUUGCUUGGCCUUUACUGACACUCAGAGACGAAAGCGAAGGUAGCGAACGGGAUUAGAUACCCGCGUAGUCC